AAAAAUUUCGACUGUGUUUAAUGCAUUUCCUUUUAAGGAUUAACUGUUCUGCUUACAUUGCAUAUUAACACGUCAUGAAAUCAGCCACAUUACUACUAACUUUGUUUACUAGUACAACAAGAUAUAGACUGAUGUUUGAUGUGGGAUUUUUUUUGUGAGGUGAUUAACACUAACAGUAGGUACGACAGCAUAGUAAAUAUCAGAUAAAUUUUAUUUUUCAUCGGCCUAUUGCCACUUGGUCACGUCUUCCCAUAAAAUCUUAGUCUCCCCAUCAUUAGUUAUUGCGUUCAAUCUCGUGCAAAUUUUAGUAAUAACUAUUUAAAUAUUCCGAUAUAUGUAAAGUCAUUUCACUAGUUCAUAAAGUAUAUAUAAUGUACAAGUAUUUUAGAAGUAAUUAUUAGGCGAGUAGAUAUGUCCAUACAAAGUUUGAUAAAUUACAUAAUUUAACGCGAAUUUAUUAAAUACGGAAUCUUUUCUAUAAGAAAAGAAUUUUUCAUUCCAAACUUUUAAAAUUACCUUAACGGACCGAAACUAGCAUAAAAAAAUUUUUGAAAAAAAUUUAAGAACCUAAUAGAACACGUCAUAUCCAAUAAUCGAAUUCUGCGCUUGGUCAAAUCUCCCCAUGUUCCCCUAAUUGAAAUUUUUUUGACCACGAAAGUUUGAUUUCCGUGCUACAGAUGGCUGCAUUUUAAAUAUUUUUAUAGCACGUCAAAGUCAAAACUUUGAACCCAAAAAUGUAUAAUUUCUAGAAAACCUCGAUAUAUGCAGAUUAAGAUGAAUUCGUUUUACAAAGUAUCGUAGGAAAACAUUGAAUAUCCACUUUCCGCAAAUCAUGUCUUUACUGCCCCUACAUGCAGAAUAUUGAUAUUCGACUUAGCGCCCUGAUCACCAAUUUUCAUUUCAUUAUGUAUAUGCUUUGUGAUGUCCUGAGAGAAAACAAAAACACAUCGACAUAGAGAGAGAAUAAUGCAGGCAAAUAUAAAGCUAGGUACAUCGAGAUAGGGAGAUAUCGAGAUAGAGAAAAUAUCGACAUAGAGGAGUUUUUAUACGUGCGAUCUGAAGGGACCCACGAAAUAAUGGAGAUAGAGAAAAAUAUCGACAUAGAGAAUAUCGACAUAGAGAGAGUUAACUGUACCGAAAUACAGUUUUGCCACCAAAAAAUUAUUACAAACUUCUUUGUACUCUCAGCGAGUAAGAAAAUCUGUUAGUUUACACUGUAUGUCUGAUAAUUUGUUCGAAGAUUCACUGUAAUGCGGUUUUCUCGUUAUGUACUUAUAAGCUAGACGAAACGCAAUCUGGACUUCAACGUGCUUAACAAUACUAAUGACCGAUUUCUUCAUCCUCGCUUAACGUUUUAGCCAGGUUUAAACGUACUGGUAAACCUGGUUUAAAAGUUAAGCGAGGGUGAAGAAAUCGACCUGAAACCGCAAAUCUGGAAAAAUAAGGAUAUCGAUCGUGAACCGACAAACGGGCCUAUAUAACAAAUGUACACAAACGGAGAUUUGAGUAAUAUCUUAAAGAGGAGUAAAAAUACUUCAUAAUAAAUAUAAAAACUCAUUUAUAAAUGUUCCACACUUCAUGAGAAUCAAUAAAAAACAAAACGGCGGAUCCGACUUUCAACUGUAAACAAGCCGCCAUGCGGAUUACGCCUCUGCAUUUCUAAGGUAGUGUGUACGGGCGAAAUUGACAGCAUCAUAUUACAAAGCCCGUAAACAGAGUCGCCCUAAACAAAAACCAACUGAUUGAUACGCCCGGGGGGAAUAACAAAUUUUCCCCUCCGGCGAGCACGGUGAAACCCACAUUUGGUUUUUGUUUUCUGGCGACACUGCAGGGCGAAAUUGUGAGUGGUCAAAAUAAGAGGGCGACUCAAAAAUGGCCUAAUCAACAUUUCAUAACAACAUUCGGCGAAAUAUAUUUUUUUCAAUUUUAUCAACGAAAACGUUAUUAUAUAAAAUAUUUUAGUAAUGCUUCCGAAAACUAGUAUUGUUUUGAAGUGUUUCAAUACAUUUGAAAGCGCAGUAUGCAAACACUGUUAAAAUACAAUUUAAUUUUCUGAAGCGAAUUAUCAAAGCUAUUUUUCUCGAUUCGAUAUUAUUGCGUCUUCGGCCCUUUGGUCGGUUCAUGAUCGAUAUGUCUGGAAUGUUGGCAGCACUGGUUUUAAUUGUUUUUGUUUUGUGUUCAGAGAUUCCAGAUUUGCAGAUAAGUCUGCAAAUUCGCAUACUUUUAAUUUAAGCUGCAGAUUUUUUCGAUGACGCAGAUAUUUGCAGAUUUUCUAGUCUGGUUGCAGAUAUUUGCAGAUUUUUUACUUUUGUUGCAGAUAUUUGAAUAUAAAGACAUUUGAAAAAAAUACCUGGCAUCUCUGUUUGUGUUCUUUGAUCACACUUGACUGUAUUAUCAAAGUUCCAGGAAAGAUUUUGAUAAUAUUUCGAUUCCGGAUGAUUGGCUUUACCGCGAAGGACAUUUUCUCCCAGGUAUUCUACUGUAGAACCUACUGUAGUGUGGCAAAAGGACCAUGUACUCGAGAGUCGAUUCGAGAUUUAUGCGACACGUUUGCAGUACUUAUCCGGGGUCAGGAGGAUGUCCAAAUGUGCAAUAAAUAAUAUACAGUGCAGCAGCAAUCAUGCGUACCACAUUCUUCGGUUUAUGGCCGGGCAAGUCCACACCCAAUCAAUGUGGGGUAAAACGUUUAAGAACCGAUUACAAUACUGAAUUUUAUCGAUUGGCGGCGAAAUUAUUGAAUUUUGAGAUAAGUAUUUAUUAAUUUUAUCAUAAUGUAGAUAAUUUUUUUGUUUAUUUUUUUAGGAAUAAUGUAUGUGGCGAUAUUAGCAAUGGCUUACUUCAACAGACAUGUGUUACUAAUAUUUGUGGAAUUGCAUCGUGCAGUCAUGAUUCCAACAAACUUCGCAGCGGAUUUUAAUGUGACGACCCAUCCCGAACAGCUGAAAUGAAAUGCUUUUUUCUAAAGAGUUACUAUUCUAUGAAAUCAUAUUUCAUAGAUGCCUAAGUGAUAAUAGCAACGAAUUAUUGAUCUUUAGUUGUAGUACACUACCUUUCUUCACAUAACUGUCCUAUAGGGGAAUACUAGAAGUAGCAGUAGAAUCAGAAGAAUAGUCUAUUGUUUUAUAGCAUCACCGCAAAUAAUAAAAUUCGACUUAUGGAUAGACAAUUAGUUAAAGAUAAUUUAAAUUUGAUUAGUUGCUACACACAGAAAAAAUGUUGGUAAAAGUAAGAGUUUGUCGCUCUUAACAAAAAACAAUCAACAUGAGAUUAUGCUUGAAAAGAAACAUAUUUUGAUUACUAUUCUUCUAUAGCUUAAAAGGGACACUUUUAUUGUUAUUAUUUUCAUUGAUUAAUUUAAAAAUUUUACUUUUAACUUGGUUGUUUUUGCUACCUUUAGGCGUUGGUUGAUUUUUUUUUUCUAAGAGCGCACAUUCUUACUUUUACCAAUAUUUUUUUCUGUAUGUAUAAACUUACCAAUUUUUACUAGGGUAUGACAGAAGCGGUAUAAUUAUCACAAAGUUUGUAUCUCUAUGAAGAUAUAAUCGAUCACAAUAAGGAAAUCAAACAAGAAUUUAAGUUGUAGAAAACUUAUUGCAUUAUAAGUAAUGCAAUAGACACCAAGUAUUUCUAUAUCUGAUGCACCACUGUAGCAGAAAAUAACAAACUGAUAUACUGAAUUGACAAUUAUUGUAGUAUGAUGAAUAAUAGGCUCACAUGAAAUUGGUGAGAAGUUAGCAUAAUUUUAAUCAACUGAGACUAUACAAUUUAGAGUAUGAAGAAAAUAAUUCAAUACUUGCGUAGAUAUACUGCUGGAUAGGGACCCCAAAACUUACCAAGCAAAACGAACAGUUUAUGAAAGACCACGCGUGUAAGUUUGGUUUGAAUGUUUAUAUUUAAUUUAUAGAACCUAUCAUGCGUAACAUGAAUCAGUGUAAUGUAAAGGAUAUCAAUCGGCAAUGCAAAAAUCUAUUAGACUUAUUCGUAUACCUUAACAGUAACCCGCUCGAAUUCUCAAAUCUGUAUCGUUAUAAGUUUUCAUUCAAUUAAAGAUCAGCAAUAAAAAAAAUUAAAAAAUGUUGUUUAUAAACCGAAAGCUUGAAUCCCAACAAAGUAAAAUUCAACAGAAAAAAUGCUAAUUUCAAAAACGAAACUUGGUUGAUAUCAACAAAAAAAAUUUCUGAAUUUAUCAAAGAUUUUUGUUAAUUCAACCAGUUAUAGUAGUUAAAUCAACAAAAUGGGUUGCUGAUUUCAGCAGAAAAAGUAGUUGAAUGUUAGAGGGUUGUGUCUACGCUAAAGUUUUAAGUCGCAAAAUUAACUAAAAAUCAGUAAUUUCAACCGACAAUUUGGUUUAAUUUAAGGGAUUCGAAAAUAACAAAUCCAAAUCAGCAGUAUCAGAUAUUUUUUAGUUGUCUCAAAUAAUAACUAACUAAAAACAGAAAAUCAACUAAGAUUUUGGCUGCUGAGCCCAAUUUUCGUUCUCAGUGUGCCAGGUAUACUCGAACAUAGGGGCUAUAGCUAGUUUAAAGCCGACUGAGCGGCAGCGAAAUCGAACAAUACACCAGAAAUCGAUGUGUCCUUGGCCUCAGAUAUGCGGCCAAGCCUCGUCACUCUAGCUCGGCUGCAUAUGCUCACU
Molecule: RNA transcript, 4633 nt
Organism: Topomyia yanbarensis
Lineage: Eukaryota; Metazoa; Arthropoda; Insecta; Diptera; Culicidae
Exons: 5
Source: RefSeq, a predicted model, not a curated record